This 468-nucleotide ribosomal RNA is filed under the name uncultured bacterium. RNAcentral describes it as "partial 16S ribosomal RNA". It matches the Rfam family "Bacterial small subunit ribosomal RNA", at positions 28 to 507 of the family's 1533-position model. The record is from RNAcentral.
GACGAACGCUGGCGGCGUGCUUAACACAUGCAAGUCGAACGGAAAGGCCCUGCUUUUGUGGGGUGCUCGAGUGGCGAACGGGUGAGUAACACGUGAGUAACCUGCCCUUGACUUUGGGAUAACUUCAGGAAACUGGGGCUAAUACCGGAUAGGAGCUCCUGCUGCAUGGUGGGGGUUGGAAAGUUUCGGCGGUUGGGGAUGGACUCGCGGCUUAUCAGCUUGUUGGUGGGGUAGUGGCUUACCAAGGCUUUGACGGGUAGCCGGCCUGAGAGGGUGACCGCCCACAUUGGGACUGAGAUACGGCCCAGACUCCUACGGGAGGCAGCAGUGGGGAAUAUUGCACAGUGGGCGGAAGCCUGAUGCAGCAACGCCGCGUGCGGGAUGACGGCCUUCGGGUUGUAAACCGCUUUCGCCUGUGACGAAGCGUGAGUGACGGUAAUGGGUAAAGAAGCACCGGCUAACUACGUG